RNAcentral lists this ribosomal RNA (442 nucleotides) under uncultured prokaryote. RNAcentral's name for it is "bacterial SSU rRNA". It matches the Rfam family "Bacterial small subunit ribosomal RNA", at positions 355 to 796 of the family's 1533-position model. The record is from RNAcentral.
UAGGGAAUAUUGGACAAUGGAGGCAACUCUGAUCCAGCCAUGCCGCGUGUAGGAAGAAGGCUUUCUGAGUUGUAAACUACUUUUAUACGGGAAGACAUAGUCAUGCGUGACGAAAAGACGGUACCGUAAGAAUAAGCACCGGCUAACUCCGUGCCAGCAGCCGCGGUAAUACGGAGGGUGCAAGCGUUGUCCGGAAUUAUUGGGUUUAAAGGGUGCGUAGGCGGGCUAAUAAGUCAGAGGUGAAAUCCAUUCGCUUAACGGAUGAACUGCCUUUGAUACUGUUAGUCUUGAGUAAAGUACAGGUAGGCGGAAUUUAUGGUGUAGCGGUGAAAUGCAUAGAUACCAUAAGGAACCCCAAUAGCGAAGGCAGCUUACUAGACUUUUACUGACGCUGAGGCACGAAAGCGUGGGUAGCGAACGGGAUUAGAUACCCCCGUAGUCC